CUCCACCAACCGUACCUUUUCCUUUUCCUCUUCCUCUUCCUCUUCCUCUUCCCUUUCCCCUUCCUCUCACUCUCUUCCUCUACCCCCACCAUUCGUUCUUCCUUUUCCUACGCUGCCCUCGUUCCGACUUUCGUCCUCCGUACGUAAGUACUUACAAAGUCUAGCUUUCCCCUAUGCGACUUUCCUCGUUCUGUCCGUUUCUUCACGUUCGAUUGUAAACGUUGUUAGUACGAUAGAAUCGAGUUUAUUCUUUAUGGGAAAAUUAUUCUUUAUGGGAAGAUUAAGCGUAAAAUUGAAUUUUAACUAGAAAUAUAUAGGGCAGUAGCGUCUAUUCGAUCGUUAUUUAUCGUUUCAUCGAGAACAAGCUCCGGCUUUCAUUGAGCGAUAUUAUUGUUGGAUCGUUCCCUCGUUACCUCAUUCUGUUAUUCGUGUUAUUGUGCACGCGGUUUUAAUUAGAACAUGUGAAAAUGAAUAUAUCUUCUUUUUAGAAGAAUAUUUCUAUUUUUCCUUUUAGAAUAUUUGACUACAAAUUAUUUGUCUGAAAAUUGAUUGGUUAUCUCGUAUCGAGAUUAAGCGAUGUUGAUUAAUCUUGUAUAAAUUAUCGUACACUGUUCUAUAUUCAUCCAUAUGGAGAAAUUUGCUUCCGUUUAAAAUUUUAAUUGCCAAAAAGCGAACUUUUAAAAAUAAUUUUUUUAUUCUCGAUUUUCAUCUAAUUUUGUCUCGAAAAAUCACCCAAAUAUCUCAAAAUUUUAUAUAGACAGAUAACUAUUUCAUUUACACUAUAAUUUUUACGACGAAAUCAAUAAGUUGGAUCGAAAGAAAAUUAUUUCAUAUAAAUUCGUUUUACAGAAAACUUUCCUCGUUCGGUAAAAAUUCUCGUACAUAUGGGUGGAUAGGGGUCGCGAGACCAUUGUCCGUAUAUACGCACCUGCCAGUCUUCUCGCAUCUACUAGAACUCCUUGCAUGACAAAAACAUCGACCAAGAUGGCAUAUAGCAGUCCAACAAUUCUGUCCAUUGUUCGUUGGAUCGCAGUUUCUCGCUCUUUUGAACUUGGAAAAUGAUCUCGCUCGUCUUUUCAGCUCUCUUGACAAACCACCUUCUUUGAUCGGAAUUACGUAACAAACUUGAAUCGGGGAUCGUUAACGAGAGCCCCAUUAAAAUUUUAGCUAUAAAUUUAGAAAAGUUUGCGAAUAACCUAUAAAUCGGAUAUUCAUAUUUUUAGACCAUCUCUGCUUUUUUUCACAACUAUAAAUCGAAGAUUAAAAUAGUAUCUUUUAAAUUAAAUUUAAGUAAAUUAUUAUCCGUAACUACAUCGUAGUUUCAUAAAUAAAUUCAUCGGAGUGAUUAAUGGUUGGAAAAAAAAAGGGAAAAAAAAUAUCGAAACGCUUGGAGAUUCACGAGGAUGUAUCCUGUUAGCGUGCCACAAACACGGUUUGUGUCAACGGAGUUGGGAAACUCUGAACGUAACGCCGUACCUUGGAAUUACGUGCAUGCAUGCAGUGCUAUAAUUCAGGUUUAACCAGAUAGAAAAGGCUGGAACGUAUCCUACGCGUUUUUAUUAAAAGAAGAUCCGGAAAUUACGAAAGAAGAUUGAACAAAAUGAGAAGAAGGCGUACUCGAAUGAUACGUAUUGACUGGCAGUCUGAUGGUGCGCAUUGUAUAUAGGAAAAUGUGGGCAGUUGGAGGGGUGAGAUUUGGCGCGAUCCGAUAAAUAAUUGGCGAAGAUGGUGGAAAAAAGACGAGAUGGAGGAAGGAAGGGAAGGCGUGGUGGUUUGAUGACGCGAAAGUAUCCGAAUAUAGGAUGAAGAGUCCAGCGUUGGAGGCGAGGCGAGGAGUAUACACCCGAAGCGACUGAAUUUUCAAUGGUGGGGUUGGAUCGAUGGAAGGGUUGACCCAGUGACCUGGAACCUGGUGCGCCGGUUAGUUUACGAACUGCAACCUCGAUCGAUCUGGAUGCGCUGGAUAUCCAAUCGCAAUUACAUUUCCACCGUUUUCGUCCUACCACCGCUGUAUAACUCGAGUUUGUUCGUUAAUCAUCGCGUUAAUAAGUAACCCGGGGUAUCGUUGUUGCGGAAAUGGAAAUCUUAUCGUCUUUUCCUCGUUUUCAGAAAAUUUCAUUCGACGUUCUCCUCGUUUCCGAUAUUUUCUCAGAGGAGAAAAACUGGAAUUUCGAAUAAAUAAUUUCAAAAUAUUUUAUUUUCAAAGAGACUAAAUCUGUGUCAAUCUCUCGUGAAAAUUGGGGCCCCUAUUUUGAUUAUCCUCUAUGGUUGAAUCUCUUCGUCGAAAAUCAUAAAACUGGCAUCAAAUUAUUGAAAUAUAUUUUUAAAUCCAGAUAAUUUUAAUUGUUACUCAAUGCUAUGUUUAUUAUGGAUUUAUUAUUCUGCAAAUUGAAGAAUUUGAAUAAUCAAAAUAUUUUCGUAUUCAAUUGGAUCCUUUUUAUCUUUGAUAUAUGAGCAGACACUAACGAUUUUUCAACUUAUGCAUAUAUAUAUAUAUAUAUAUACUUUUUCUCAGGGUAUUACGUAUAUACGAGUUGAACAAUCACUAAUUAGUAUGCUUGUGAAUAUGCGUCAUUUCUGUCGCGUGAUUGUUUAAACGAUAUUUUCUAAGCAAUGUUUCGAUCUUGUAAAAAUAUAUACAUAUAUAUAUAUAUAUAUAUUUUUAAAUAAAUUAUGAAUGUAUAAAUAAAAUUAAUAUGUACAUAUUAUAAUAGUUUUUUUUCAAUAAAUAAAUAAUUCAUUCUUAUAAUUCAUUAUAUAAUAAUUAAAGACACGGAAGAGAAAAAUAAGGUUCGGAAGAUUUUGAUUCGAGAUAUAUUUUACGAGAUACUUUGUUUUUUAUCAUUUUUGAUCGUGUAUAAAAAUGUACACCUAAAAUUAAAAAAGAAUAUUCAUUGUCUUUUAUAAUUUUGUUGUUAGAGAAUUAUAGAAAAUUAUUCAAAUUAAAAUUCGAAUGAUAUAAAAAUAUUUUCAAAUUCAACUGGAUUAUUAUCUGGGAUGUGAGUUUAUUCUUUAUACUUAUAUAAAAUGGAUAUUAUUAAAAUUGUAAUAUUUUUGAAUGGUAUCGAAAUUUUUAUUAUCAAACGUGAAUUAAAUUGUUGUUAUUUAAUAUAUUUGUUAUAUAUAUUUAUAUAACUCCAAACUUAUAAUUUUGUUAUCAGAAAACAAUACUGAAAAUCUAGAUAUAAAAAUGUAGCUCUAGCUCUUAAUUGAAUUAUUGAUACAAAACCUAACAAUAUUUUAACAAUAUGAAAUGUUGCAGAUAGAAUAUCACACAGCUUUGCAUAGUGAAAAUUAUUUUACAGUUGUACAUAUUGAAUUUAUUACGAUAUUUAUGUAGUAAUUCUUAAUAUUUUAACUAAUGUUAAUUAUCUAUUUUCAAUUUACAAUUAAAAAAAAUUUAACGUUAUGAGAAUGAGAUGCAGAAUUUAAAAAAACGUUUUUUUUUAUUAAUUUAGAUACACACUAUUUGUUAAGAAAACAGAAUCCACGUAAAAAUUCAUGAAGUAAACGGAAUUAAUCUUUUCUAAAUCUCUAUAUAAUUAUUUUUCGAACAAGUACGUAUUAUACGUGAAUAAAAUUAUGAUUCUUCAAACUAUCACAAAAUUAUACAUCCACUAUCUAAAUCUAUAUCUACAUCCCUUAUAUUGUAUAUUAAAUUCAUAAAAAAGUUAAUAAUAUCAUAGCUAAUCAUCA
Apis cerana (Asiatic honeybee) is the source of this 3696-nucleotide long non-coding RNA. RefSeq lists it as uncharacterized. The record is from RefSeq and is a predicted model, not a curated record. NCBI's taxonomy places the organism in Eukaryota, Metazoa, Arthropoda, Insecta, Hymenoptera, Apidae.